Molecule: ribosomal RNA, 503 nt
Filed under: uncultured bacterium
Lineage: Bacteria
Description: partial 16S ribosomal RNA
Rfam family: Bacterial small subunit ribosomal RNA
Source: RNAcentral
AGUGAACGCUGGCGGCAGGCUUAACACAUGCAAGUCGAGCGGGGUGAUGGUGCUUGCACUAUCACUUAGCGGCGGACGGGUGAGUAAUGCUUAGGAAUCUGCCUAUUAGUGGGGGACAACAUCUCGAAAGGGAUGCUAAUACCGCAUACGUCCUACGGGAGAAAGCAGGGGAUCACUUGUGACCUUGCGCUAAUAGAUGAGCCUAAGUCGGAUUAGCUAGUUGGGGGGGUAAAGGCCUACCAAGGCGACGAUCUGUAGCGGGUCUGAGAGGAUGAUCCGCCACACUGGGACUGACACACGGCCCAGACUACUACGGGAGGCAGCAGUGGGGAAUAUUGGACAAUGGGGGGAACCCUGAUCUAGCCAUGCCGCGUGUGUGAAGAAGGCCUUAUGGUUGUAAAGCACUUUAAGCGAGGAGGAGGCUCUUUUGGUUAAUACCCAAGAUGAGUGGACGUUACUCGCAGAAUAAGCACCGGCUAACUCUGUGCCAGCCGCCGCAGUAA